This 255-nucleotide long non-coding RNA is filed under the name Lathyrus oleraceus (garden pea). RNAcentral describes it as "Pisum sativum (pea) long non-coding RNA (PSAT_LNC023515)". The record is from RNAcentral. Lineage: Eukaryota; Viridiplantae; Streptophyta; Magnoliopsida; Fabales; Fabaceae.
UUUCCAUGGCCCUCCACAUGUCCACAAGGAUCUACAUGCAAAAAAUCAGCUCUUUAUUGAAGCCAGAGGUGCUUCAGUUGAUCAAUGGAAUCGGAAAUCAGACAGUUUGGGAAAAGUCAACUGUGGGGCCAAAAAAAGUCAACUCUUGACAUUUUGAAAGUGGAAUCUCAAAAUUCAUGCCUAAGGAAGCCUACAUGUGAAAUUUGAUCAAGGUUGGAUCAUGGAUUCAUCAUUUAAUCAGAAGUUGGAAAAGUU